Long non-coding RNA from Podarcis raffonei (Aeolian wall lizard), 641 nucleotides. RefSeq lists it as uncharacterized. Lineage: Eukaryota; Metazoa; Chordata; Lepidosauria; Squamata; Lacertidae. The record is from RefSeq and is a predicted model, not a curated record. The transcript is spliced from 3 exons.
GUUGCCUCCCCCCGUGGGACAAGCUCCGACGACGGCUACUUACUUUCUCUUGAAGUCCGACGCGAUGUCCAGAUUGGCAGCCUCCACCCCGAAGAAGGAGACGGAGCCCAGUUAACGAGCGAGGAAAAGCGCAGACCUGAUAGCGAAGAUAAUCCACUGAAGUCCGGCUGUGCGCACACUGGAUCCUUGCUUGACGGUAGCAGCAAGCCUGCCUCUUGAGCAGCGAGCGAAGGGACUCUUCAGGCAAGGUAAGACUUGCGGCAGAGGAGUGCGGCGUACCUUUAGCGAGAAUUGGGAGCAACUUGGAUAAAGUAAAUGCCAGCCAACGUUAAGCACUUUACUCUUUUUAAAAAAUGCAUUUGCAUUCUGAUACUUCAAUAUAUCUUGUACAUAUGAAGCUGCAUAAUACUGAGUCAGCCUGUGAAGGCUGUAAUCCUGUACCAAUUUUCCUGGAAGCAAGUUCCAUUGAGCCCAGUGGGACUUAACUUCUGGCUAGACCUGCAUAGUAUCGGUGUGGGGUGUUGUUUCUUUCAUGUAAGUAUAUGUACCGGUAUGCUUUUGUGUUACAGUACAGUGGUACCUCGGGUUAAGUACUUAAUUCGUUUCGGAGGUCCGUUCUUAACCUGAAACUGUUCUUAACC